This is a non-coding RNA of Lentinula raphanica, 94 nucleotides long. NCBI's taxonomy places the organism in Eukaryota, Fungi, Basidiomycota, Agaricomycetes, Agaricales, Omphalotaceae. The record is from the annotation of a GenBank genome assembly.
UCCCUGGUAGUAUAUCGGUUAGUACACGCGCCUGUCAUAGAUCUUGAGUCUCUCUCAAACGCGCGAAAGCUGGGUUCGACUCCCAGCCAGGGAG